CACAUCAGCACAGCAUCCUCUGGUCCACGGGUCAGAAUUCAAGAACAUCAGGAAAUGAGUCACCGUCACUGACCGAUGUCCAGAGAACAAUAUCAUCAAGCAAAGGCUACUUAGAUAAAUAACCUUUUAAGGACAGGAUGUGAGAUCCACAACCAGGGGUGAUGUUUCCUCAGCUGAGGGAUGAGGUAGUGGGUGACGAACCCCACCGUAGCAGCCAGAGCGUACAGCACAAUGGUCACAAAGGGCUGCGGGCAGGAACGUCCACGGAGGCACAGAGAUGCCAGGCAUGUGAAACACACACUCACAGCAGGACGGACGGGUCGCUGCUCUGUCGACUCAGGUGGUAGGAGAAGACCACCAGGAGACCACAGAAACCAGAGAACAGAGCUGGAGUGUGCUGCUCAUCCCAGGGCUC
This is a long non-coding RNA of Cynoglossus semilaevis (tongue sole), 415 nucleotides long. RefSeq lists it as uncharacterized. The record is from RefSeq and is a predicted model, not a curated record. NCBI's taxonomy places the organism in Eukaryota, Metazoa, Chordata, Actinopteri, Pleuronectiformes, Cynoglossidae. The transcript is spliced from 3 exons.